RNAcentral lists this ribosomal RNA (463 nucleotides) under uncultured bacterium. RNAcentral describes it as "partial 16S rRNA". The record is from RNAcentral.
GCACGUAGUUAGCCGUUGCUUAUGCCUCGAGUACCGUCGGGUGUCUUCCUCGAGAAAGGCGGUUUACGACCCGAAGGCCUUCAUCCCGCACGCGGCGUGGCUGCGUCAGGGUUUCCCCCAUUGCGCAAAAUUCCUAACUGCUGCCUCCCGUAGGAGUCUGGGCCGUGUCUCAGUCCCAGUCUGGCUGGCCAUCCUCUCAGACCAGCUACGGAUCGAAGCCUUGGUGGGCCAUUACCUCACCAACUAGCUAAUCCGCCGCAGGCUCCUCCUAAAGCGUCUUACGACUUUGAGCAUCGAAAACGGAUCGAUGGUCACAUGCGGUAUUAGCGACUCUUUCGAGUCGUUAUCCCCCACUUCAGGGCAGAUCACCUACGUGUUACUCAGCCGUUCGCCACUAGCCUUUCCCCUUGCGGGGAUUGGCUUGUCCGACUUGCAUGUUUUAUGCACGCCGCCAGCGUUUGUC